This 857-nucleotide ribosomal RNA is filed under the name marine bacterium enrichment culture clone K21-F11-S7. Its description in RNAcentral is "bacterial SSU rRNA". It matches the Rfam family "Bacterial small subunit ribosomal RNA", at positions 77 to 911 of the family's 1533-position model. The record is from RNAcentral.
GCUUCGGCCCCGGUACAGCGGCGCACGGGUGCGUAACGCGUGGGUAAUCUACCUUUGGGUGGGGGAUAACACCUCGAAAGGGGUGCUAAUACCGCAUGAGACCACGACCCCCUCGGGGGAUGUGGGAAAAGCUGGCCUCUCCUUGGAAGCUAGCGCCUGAAGAUGAGCCCGCGUCUCAUCAGCUUGUUGGUGGGGUAAUGGCCUACCAAGGCUAAGACGGGUAGCUGGUCUGAGAGGAUGAUCAGCCACACUGGCACUGGAACACGGGCCAGACUCCUACGGGAGGCAGCAGUAGGGAAUAUUGGGCAAUGGGCGAAAGCCUGACCCAGCCACGCCGCGUGAGUGAUGAAGGCCUUCGGGUUGUAAAGCUCUGUGGGGAGGGACGAAAAAGGCGAGUCGAAUAGGCUCGCAAAUUGACGGUACCUCCUUAGCAAGCACCGGCUAACUCUGUGCCAGCAGCCGCGGUAAGACAGAGGGUGCAAACGUUGCUCGGAAUUACUGGGCGUAAAGCGCGUGUAGGCGGACCGUUAAGUCGGGUGUGAAAUCCCCGGGCUCAACUCGGGAACUGCAUCCGAAACUGGCGGUCUAGAGUGAUGGAGAGGGAAGCGGAAUUCCCGGUGUAGAGGUGAAAUUCGUAGAUAUCGGGAGGAACACCAGUGGCGAAGGCGGCUUCCUGGACAUCGACUGACGCUGAGACGCGAAAGCGUGGGGAGCAAACAGGAUUAGAUACCCUGGUAGUCCACGCCGUAAACGAUGAGUGCUAGGUGUCGCGGGUUUUGACCCCUGCGGUGCCGUAGCUAACGCGUUAAGCACUCCGCCUGGGGAGUACGGNCGCAAGGCUNAAACUCAAAGGAAUU